Molecule: non-coding RNA, 99 nt
Organism: Zea mays
Lineage: Eukaryota; Viridiplantae; Streptophyta; Magnoliopsida; Poales; Poaceae
Source: Rfam
UAUUUGCCAUGAGGAUCCUAUUACGACGGUAUCUUAAGGGUAUGGCUUAUUCCAACCCUUCUGAUUAUACCAAAACUGAAUUAUGAUUCUGAGCAAAUC